UACGUAGGGGGCAAGCGUUGUCCGGAAUCAUUGGGCGUAAAGAGCGCGUAGGCGGCCCAGUAAGUCCGCUCUGAAAGUCAGGGGCUCAACCCCUGAAUGCGGGUGGAUACUGCUGGGCUAGAGUCCGGAAGAGGCGAGUGGAAUUCCUGGUGUAGCGGUGAAAUGCGCAGAUAUCGGGAAGAACACCCGUGGCGAAGGCGGCUCUCUGGGACGGUACUAACGCUGAGACGCGAAAGCGUGGGGAGCGAACAGG
RNAcentral lists this ribosomal RNA (253 nucleotides) under uncultured bacterium. RNAcentral's name for it is "partial 16S ribosomal RNA". It matches the Rfam family "Bacterial small subunit ribosomal RNA", at positions 524 to 776 of the family's 1533-position model. The record is from RNAcentral.